Molecule: transfer RNA, 77 nt
Filed under: Escherichia coli
Lineage: Bacteria; Pseudomonadati; Pseudomonadota; Gammaproteobacteria; Enterobacterales; Enterobacteriaceae
Description: tRNA-Leu
Source: RNAcentral
GCGGGCACAUGUACCAAGGUGGCGACGCGGUCUCCAAAACCGUGUGUGGUGGGUUCAAUUCCCAACUGUCCGUGCCA